RNAcentral lists this ribosomal RNA (1676 nucleotides) under human gut metagenome. RNAcentral describes it as "bacterial LSU rRNA". It matches the Rfam family "Bacterial large subunit ribosomal RNA", at positions 832 to 2524 of the family's 2925-position model. The record is from RNAcentral.
AUCGAACCCGGAGAUAGCUGGUUCUCCUCGAAAUAGCUUUAGGGCUAGCCUCAUGGAUCAUUGAUGGGGGUAGAGCACUGAAUGUGCGCGGGGGCCACAAAGCCUACCAAACGCUAUCAAACUUCGAAUACCAUACAAUGCAGACCAUGGGAGUCAGUCCGCGAGAGAUAAGUUCCGCGGGCAAAAGGGGAACACCCCAGAUCAACCGCUAAGGUCCCCAAGUUCACGUUAAGUGGAGAAGGAUGUGGAAUUGCACAGACAACCAGGAUGUUGGCUCAGAAGCAGCCACACAUUUAAAGAGUGCGUAAUAGCUCACUGGUCGAGUGAUUGUGCGCCGAAGAUGUCCGGGGCUAAACGUGACACCGAAGCGAUGGGUGCAUCUGAAAGGAUGCGCGGUAGAGGAGCAAUGUGCAGAGGCAGAAGCCGUAUCGAGAGGCACGGUGGACACUGCACAAGAGAGAAUGCCGGUAUGAGUAGCGAGAGGCAUGCGAGAAACAUGCCCGUCGAAAGCCCAAGGUUUCCUGGGGAAGGUUCAUCCGCCCAGGGUAAGUCGGGGCCUAAGCCGAGGACGGAAGUCGUAGGCGAUGGACAGCAGGUGUAGAUUCCUGCACUACCGAUGGAAUGAAGCAGUGACACAGAAGGAUAACUCGAGCAGGGUGAUGGUCAACCCUGUGCAAGCAUCAAGGUUGGGUUGUAGUGAAGUACGCAAUCCUAUAAGCUGAGGUGUGAUGCGGACCGAAAUUUCAGUAGGGAAGCGAGUGAGUUCACGCUGGCGAGAAAAGCUGCUAGUACAUCCAAAGGUACCCGUACCGGAAACCGACGCAGGUGGGCGAGGAGAGAAUCCUGAGACGAACGGGAGAACCCUUGUUAAGGAACUCGGCAAAAUGACCCCGUAACUUCGGGAUAAGGGGUGCCUGCGAGAGCAGGCCGCAGAGAAUAGUCACAAGCGACUGUUUAGCAAAAACACAGGUAUCUGCGAAAGCGAGAGCUGACGUAUAGGUGCUGACACCUGCCCGGUGCUGGAAGGUUAAGGGAACAUGUUAGAGCAAUCGAAGCAUCGAACCGAAGCCCCAGUAAACGGCGGCCGUAACUAUAACGGUCCUAAGGUAGCGAAAUUCCUUGUCGGGUAAGUUCCGACCCGCACGAAUGGUGUAACGACUUGUGAGCUGUCUCAACAGGGGGCCCGGUGAAAUUGAAGUAUGGGUGAAGAUGCCCAUUACCCGCGACUGGACGGAAAGACCCCGUAGAGCUUUACUGCAGCCUGAUAUUGAGUUUCGGUAACUGAUGCACAGGAUAGGUGGGAGUCUGAGAGACAUGGGUUUCGGCUCGUGUGGAGACGCUGUUGGGAUACCACUCUUCGGUUACUGAAAUUCUAACAUAGCUCUGUGAAACCAGAGGAUGGACAGUGUCAGGUGGACAGUUUGACUGGGGCGGUCGCCUCCGAAAGAGUAACGGAGGCGCCCAAAGGUACCCUCAGAAUGGAUGGAAACCAUUCGAAGAGCGCAAAGGCAGAAGGGUGCCUGACUGCGAGAUUGACAAAUCGAGCAGAGACGAAAGUCGGGCUUAGUGAUCCGGCGGUAUUGAGUGGAAAAGCCGUCGCUUAACGGAUAAAAGCUACCUCGGGGAUAACAGGCUGAUCUCCCCCAAGAGUCCACAUCGACGGGGAGGUUUGGCAC